UACGUAGGGUGCGAGCGUUAAUCGGAAUUACUGGGCGUAAAGCGUGCGCAGGCGGCUUUGCAAGACAGAUGUGAAAUCCCCGGGCUUAACCUGGGAACUGCAUUUGUGACUGCAGGGCUGGAGUGCGGCAGAGGGGGAUGGAAUUCCGCGUGUAGCAGUGAAAUGCGUAGAUAUGCGGAGGAACACCGAUGGCGAAGGCAAUCCCCUGGGCCUGCACUGACGCUCAUGCACGAAAGCGUGGGGAGCAAACAGG
This 253-nucleotide ribosomal RNA is filed under the name uncultured bacterium. RNAcentral's name for it is "partial 16S ribosomal RNA". It matches the Rfam family "Bacterial small subunit ribosomal RNA", at positions 524 to 776 of the family's 1533-position model. The record is from RNAcentral.